CACCGAGAUUUGUUAACGAGGUUCACCAAUAUGGCUACAUCCCCGGGGCAUGACUACGGGCGCUCCUCCCCGUGACACCAUCACAAUACCGCACCCGGUCGCCCUGGACACCGGCACAUGCCGCCGGCUUCCCCUGCGUUCCGGUGCUAUUAUGUUGGCAUCGGUUACAUCGUGUGUCUACCCCCGCUAUAUAUGAGAGGCCUAGGAUACAAGUCCUACUAGGACACGACUCCACAUCCUAUGUAAACACGAUACAACUACAAGUCCAACUGUAACCUACCUUGUACACUAUAUUCGACACAACUCUAACAAACUCCGCCUUGGCGAAUAUUCUCCACCACCUUGAAUUUGUCUAUGCGUCAAACUUCCAUGUACAUUGGACUUGAGCUUAUCCCAUGAGCACCGCUGCUACUCGAAAAACUCCAUGUGACUCCACCUGCAACUUGUAGUCCCUUCUUUUCUUGACCACUGUCAACACUCGAGCAAACUUAAGUUUCUUGUUACUCUAGUCUGUGCUCCCAACUUCCAGAGUAUCCGUCCAACGACAUCACACACUGAUCACUGACCUGCGUGAAAGUGAACAACUUACAUAUUGGGUGUCACACAUAAGAGCUACCUGAACUCAACAUCACCACUCCUUUCUUGACCGCCUGUCUGAAACUUGAAGGAAUUUCACCAUUGCUCGUAGUCAUCCCGAGUCAAAUUCACAGUUGUCUCACCACAUGUAUGACCACCAGAGCCCUGGCCCGUCUCCAUGUCCCGUGCGUACCGCACGCCUCGCCGCUAUUACCGCGUCGAGCCUCCGCUGUCCCGGUCGAGUCUCAAGGGUCGCGAACCCACACCACUCAACCCCCACUGCAGAGUACCAUCGAUCAUCACCGACCGAUGACGAGUUUCACGCUUCCAUCAGACCACUGGGCUCCAAUCCGAACUGCAUGUCACUCGCUUUUCCCACUGAAUAGGCUUCGACUCUCUGUCGACUUACGCCGUAGCCCCUCAAUCAGCUCCACCUUCAACAUGACUCCAUGGUAGAUGAUCAGUCCACCCCCGCGCCUCAUCGACUUCAAGCUCCGUGUAUACACCACCUUGAAUCAAUCCCGUGCCAUAGUCUUGUCAAAGCCACACAAGCCUCAGGCCUGCGCCACGUGUUUCCACGCCCAGAAGUCGGUCACCAUUAGCAUCACGCCCAUAUGUCGUCGCCGAUCCCACCACCGUCUUCUGUACCAACCGACUUGCGUCGAUCUGUCAGACUGUCCAGUCCGACCCAGCCGAACUUCUCCGACUGCAGACACAUUCCAGACUUCCCAAGUCAUCACCGUGACCACCGUCAUCCAUACACACAUGUGUACCGACAAAGAAAACGAAAGAAAAAAUUCCCUCAUAGCUUUCCCGUGUGAACCACACGUAUGUAGCUUCUGGAUCCCUUCUUUUAUUUCUUUCUUGAUGAUAGCAUCACGAUCAAACUCUAGGUCCUUGUGCCAAAAAAAAUUCCCAAACAAAUCUCAUGUCUCAGCACUUCAGCAGCAUUUCCGUACGCUCAGCAGCCUCCUGUGAACAACACGCCUUGACCACCAGCUAUCACAUGCUCCCUCACGGCCCAAUCUAUCUACUGAGCCAUGACCCAGCACGGUCUGCUUGCUCCAGGCGCCACGUGGGCUCCGCGCUGCACCCGGUCCAGACACAUGCGCUGUAUUGCACCCAAUCGACCGUGUCGCUGCCAGGUCCUCAGCCGCCACGCGCACUCAGAUCCAACCUCGUGCACUCCGAGCAUCCGAGCGGACCGUGUUAUGUACGUGCCGCACCUGACGCAGCUUCCUGGACCGCCACGCGUGCCUCGCUGUUGCGCUUCCGCAUCGAACCAACCAACCGCUGCCUGCCCGGAUCGAAUCUGCUGUUGUACGAACUCGCCGAAAACUCUGAUCGCUCUAGACCACCGCUUUGAUCGAAAACUGCCGCUAUUUUUCACCGUUUAGACUGCUUUUGAUCUUUCCGUUGACCUCCACGAACAACUUCGAUCUCACCGCAAUCACCUGGCAACCCUUGCAGCCGCUCCCUCGAUCAAACUGACAUCCUCUAGAUCAACCACCGACCUAGCUUAUGAUACCACUUGUUAGAAUAAAUCCGAGGCAUACCGUCGAUCAUCCAAGGACCAAGCAAUCCAAUGAGCAUAACACCGAGAUUUGUUAACGAGGUUCACCAAUAUGGCUACAUCCCCGGGGCAUGACUACGGGCGCUCCUCCCCGUGACACCAUCACAAUACCGCACCCGGUCGCCCUGGACACCGGCACAUGCCGCCGGCUUCCCCUGCGUUCCGGUGCUAUUAUGUUGGCAUAGGUUACAUCGUGUGUCUACCCCCGCUAUAUAUGAGAGGCC
This 2373-nucleotide long non-coding RNA is filed under the name Triticum aestivum (bread wheat). RNAcentral describes it as "long non-coding RNA (TAES_LNC023432)". The record is from RNAcentral. Lineage: Eukaryota; Viridiplantae; Streptophyta; Magnoliopsida; Poales; Poaceae.